This 453-nucleotide long non-coding RNA is filed under the name Oryctolagus cuniculus (rabbit). Its description in RNAcentral is "lncRNA (ENSOCUG00000037813.1)". Lineage: Eukaryota; Metazoa; Chordata; Mammalia; Lagomorpha; Leporidae. The record is from RNAcentral.
AUGGGCCUCCUGGAUGCGGUUCCUAGGGAGGCACAAUGGUGUUUGACCCCAAACACAACUCGCCUCAGCCCCUCUCUCCCUGGGGUCCCCCGCCAGCUACCAGGUCUUGUUCUGCAGGGGCCGUCAAGGGGACAUGGGCCUCUCCGGCAGCACAGGAGAAGAGGAGUGGAAACAAUUACUCUGAUAACUCAGACCGCGACGUCACAACCCUCACAGGGAAAGCAAACCAUGAAAAAGCCACGUGAUUGUGUCUUUCUGUCGUGGGUCUCCGGGUUGGCCCGGGCCCGGGAGUGGGAGCCACAGCACAGCUGCCUGGUCGGAGUCCGCACCCCCUUCCCAGCCCACAGUCGGUUGCCUGGGUCACUCCUGCUGCCGCUGCUUCCUCGUGGAGCCAGCCCCUGUGGCUCCGGGCUCCCGCGUGCCCUGCCGUCCAGCGGCGGCCUUUGGCCGUAG